GUGCCCUUUGGUUCGGAACAACUCAGGGAAACUUGAGCUAAUACCGGAUGUGCCCUUCGGGGGAAAGAUUUAUCGCCAUUGGAGCGGCCCGCGUCUGAUUAGCUAGUUGGUGAGGUAAAGGCUCACCAAGGCGACGAUCAGUAGCUGGUCUGAGAGGAUGAUCAGCCACAUUGGGACUGAGACACGGCCCAAACUCCUACGGGAGGCAGCAGUGGGGAAUCUUGCGCAAUGGGCGAAAGCCUGACGCAGCCAUGCCGCGUGAAUGAUGAAGGUCUUAGGAUUGUAAAAUUCUUUCACCGGGGACGAUAAUGACGGUACCCGGAGAAGAAGCCCCGGCUAACUUCGUGCCAGCAGCCGCGGUAAUACGAAGGGGGCUAGCGUUGCUCGGAAUUACUGGGCGUAAAGGGAGCGUAGGCGGACUGUUAAGUUAGAGGUGAAAGCCCAGGGCUCAACCUUGGAAUUGCCUUUGAUACUGGCAGUCUUGAGUACGGAAGAGGUAUGUGGAACUCCGAGUGUAGAGGUGAAAUUCGUAGAUAUUCGGAAGAACACCAGUGGCGAAGGCGACAUACUGGUCCGUUACUGACGCUGAGGCUCGAAAGCGUGGGGAGCAAACAGGAUUAGAUACCCUGGUAGUCCACGCCGUAAACGAUGAGUGCUAGUUGUCGGCAUGCAUGCAUGUCGGUGACGCAGCUAACGCAUUAAGCACUCCGCCUGGGGAGUACGGUCGCAAGAUUAAAACUCAAAGGAAUUGACGGGGGCCCGCACAAGCGG
Molecule: ribosomal RNA, 771 nt
Filed under: uncultured bacterium
Lineage: Bacteria
Description: bacterial SSU rRNA
Rfam family: Bacterial small subunit ribosomal RNA
Source: RNAcentral